AGGGAAAGGCGAAAAGAACCCCGGCGAGGGGAGUGAAAAAGAACCUGAAACCGUGUACGUACAAGCAGUGGGAGCACAGGUUUACCUGUGUGACUGCGUACCUUUUGUAUAAUGGGUCAGCGACUUAUAUUCUGUAGCAAGGUUAACCGUAUAGGGGAGCCGUAGGGAAACCGAGUCUUAACCGGGCGUUAAGUUGCAGGGUAUAGACCCGAAACCCGGUGAUCUAGCCAUGGGCAGGUU
This 240-nucleotide ribosomal RNA is filed under the name Salmonella enterica. RNAcentral's name for it is "partial 23S ribosomal RNA". It matches the Rfam family "Bacterial large subunit ribosomal RNA", at positions 506 to 746 of the family's 2925-position model. Lineage: Bacteria; Pseudomonadati; Pseudomonadota; Gammaproteobacteria; Enterobacterales; Enterobacteriaceae. RNAcentral also lists the same sequence under 20 other names. The record is from RNAcentral.